AGCAGCCGCGGUAAUUCCAGCUCCAAUAGCGUAUAUUAAAGUUGUUGCAGUUAAAAAGCUCGUAGUUGAAUUUCGGGAUCAAUACGUCGGUCGUGCCUUCGGUACGUACUGGCGUCAUUGGUUUCUCCCUUCUGACGAACCAUGAUGUCAUUAAUUUGGUGUUAUGGGAAGUUAGGACUGUUACUUUGAAAAAAUUAGAGUGUUUAAAGCAGGCAUUAGCUUGAAUACAUUAGCAUGGAAUAAUGAAAUAGGACGUUCGAACCCUUAUUUGUUGGUUUCUAGGAUCAACGUAAUGAUUAAUAGGGAUAGUUGGGGGCAUUAGUAUUCAAUUGUCAGAGGUGAAAUUCUUGGAUUUAUUGAAGACUAACUACUGCGAAAGCAUUUGCCAAGGAUGUUUUCAUUAAUCAAGAACGAAAGUUAGGGGAUCGAAGACGAUCAGAUACCGUCGUAGUCUUAACCAUAAACUAUGCCGACUAGGGAUCGGAUGAUGUUAAUUUUUUAAUGACUCAUUCGGCGCCUU
RNAcentral lists this ribosomal RNA (520 nucleotides) under uncultured Glomus. RNAcentral describes it as "SSU rRNA". It matches the Rfam family "Eukaryotic small subunit ribosomal RNA", at positions 569 to 1089 of the family's 1831-position model. Lineage: Eukaryota; Fungi; Glomeromycota; Glomeromycetes; Glomerales; Glomeraceae. The record is from RNAcentral.